RNAcentral lists this unclassified non-coding RNA (446 nucleotides) under uncultured fungus. RNAcentral's name for it is "partial contains small subunit ribosomal RNA, internal transcribed spacer 1, and 5.8S ribosomal RNA". The stretch from base 1 to 73 matches the Rfam family "Eukaryotic small subunit ribosomal RNA", at positions 1759 to 1831 of the family's 1831-position model. Lineage: Eukaryota; Fungi. The record is from RNAcentral.
GCAAACUUGGUCAUUUAGAGGAAGUAAAAGUCGUAACAAGGUUUCCGUAGGUGAACCUGCGGAAGGAUCAUUAGUGAUUAACGCAACGCGACCGCAAGGUCGUGUUGCUAACCUUCUACUAUACCAACCACUGUUUAAAAAUGUAUACAAGAAUGUCUAGUGCGCUACUUAGCCACGAAAAAGAAAGCUUUAAUAAAACUUUCAGCAAUGGAUCUCUUGGUUAAGUAAAAGUCGUAACAAGGUUUCCGUAGGUGAACCUGCGGAAGGAUCAUUAGUGAUUAACGCAACGCGACCGCAAGGUCGUGUUGCUAACCUUCUACUAUACCAACCACUGUUUAAAAAUGUAUACAAGAAUGUCUAGUGCGCUACUUAGCCACGAAAAAGAAAGCUUUAAUAAAACUUUCAGCAAUGGAUCUCUUGGUUCAGGCAUCGAUGAAGAACGCAGC